AGCGCAGGCGGUUUGAUAAGUCUGAAGUUAAAGGCUGUGGCUCAACCAUAGUUCGCUUUGGAAACUGUCAAACUUGAGUGCAGGAGGGGAGAGUGGAAUUCCAUGUGUAGCGGUGAAAUGCGUAGAUAUAUGGAGGAACACCGGUGGCGAAAGCGGCUCUCUGGUCUGUAACUGACGCUGAGGCUCGAAAGCGUGGGGAGCGAACA
Molecule: ribosomal RNA, 206 nt
Filed under: uncultured bacterium
Lineage: Bacteria
Description: partial 16S ribosomal RNA
Rfam family: Bacterial small subunit ribosomal RNA
Source: RNAcentral